UACGAAGGGGGCUAGCGUUGCUCGGAAUGACUGGGCGUAAAGGGCGCGUAGGCGGGUUGCACAGUCGGGCGUGAAAUUCCUGGGCUUAACCUGGGGGCUGCGUUCGAGACGUGUGAUCUUGAGUGGGGAAGAGGGUCGUGGAAUUCCCAGUGUAGAGGUGAAAUUCGUAGAUAUUGGGAAGAACACCGGUGGCGAAGGCGGCGACCUGGUCCUUGACUGACGCUGAGGCGCGAAAGCGUGGGGAGCAAACAGG
RNAcentral lists this ribosomal RNA (253 nucleotides) under uncultured bacterium. RNAcentral's name for it is "partial 16S ribosomal RNA". It matches the Rfam family "Bacterial small subunit ribosomal RNA", at positions 524 to 776 of the family's 1533-position model. The record is from RNAcentral.